UGAAAGCAUUAGGGUGAAUUUUGUUUACUUGACAUUUAGGUGUAAAAUAAUACAUUUUAUAGAUAAUACUAAAAUUUACAACUUUCUGCUGGUUAGUUUUAGGACUUUAUCAAAGACAGCAAGAGUAAAUCAGUAAUGUUAACCCUGAUUAUGCAAAACUCUAAUACAUUGUUUUAAAUAACAACCAGAAAUAGGGAACUUCUUUCUCUUGAAGAAAAAACUACUGUUCCUCUCUCCUGUGGUUCUACAUAUUACUAAAUUUUGAAAUAUAAAUGUAAUUUUAAUUCUAAUGAGAGUACUCUCUGUAACAUAAAAAUACUGUGAAUACUGUUCUUGAAAUACCACAAUACAGAAGUAGAAUCUUUUUACGAAAUGCCAACCUAUAUCAUCAGAAUUUAUAUUGAAUACUUACUUGAAACAUUUAUAUAUUGAGAACCUUGAAAAAUGUAGCAUAUGUAGGUUAAUAAUAUUCCUGACAUUAUUAAUGAUACAUUAAUAUGUAUAUAAUAUUGGAAAUCACUAUCUUACUCUCCUUUGAAUAUGCACAGGAAG
This 552-nucleotide long non-coding RNA is filed under the name Bos taurus (domestic cattle). Its description in RNAcentral is "long non-coding RNA NONBTAT002646". The record is from RNAcentral. Lineage: Eukaryota; Metazoa; Chordata; Mammalia; Artiodactyla; Bovidae.